Molecule: long non-coding RNA, 685 nt
Filed under: Agrilus planipennis (emerald ash borer)
Lineage: Eukaryota; Metazoa; Arthropoda; Insecta; Coleoptera; Buprestidae
Description: uncharacterized LOC108742920, transcript variant X1
Source: RNAcentral
UUUAUUUUAGAUUCUAAUUUUUGAAAAACUAAAAAGAAUUGGCAAAUUUAUUACCAAGCGAAAAUAAAGAGCAAAUCCUAAAAUAUCUACAAGAACAUCCACAGGAGAGGCCAUCACAUUCCUUGGCGUAUAUCCAGUAAAAAAAGCAAAUAGCACGACAGUAACACAACGGAUAUACAAAUACCUACAACUGCACGGGGAGCAACGUGGCUUUUUUAAAUCAAUCUAUGGAGGCGAAGCCAUGUUAAAGAAAAAUCCACAAGCCAAGCCUUCACUUGCAUUGGCUGCAGACAUUUACGCUGCUCAAGUGUCUUCAAUUGGAAAAUGUUUAUCCUUGUACUGAUGGAACAUAUAUGUUCUUGAGAACGAUGUUUUUAGAACGAUGUAAAAUUUCUAAGAAAUGUUAAAGGUUAUUUUUGAAAACUAUUUUCAAUUUAAUGAAAUGUAUUAUUCUUACGACUUUUUUAAUAACUUUUGACGAAAUGACGCUCUUACAGUACAUUAGCUUGUAACAACAACAACAUAAGAAUCUUAUAGUUGGAUUAUCGUAAAUUCUAAUUUUUAAUUAAUCAAUAUGUACUUAAGUCGGAUAAAAAGUGAAACAGAAAAUAUAUGGGUACUAGAACUUCGCAAGUAUUUAUUAAAUGUGUUCAUAGUUUUAUUGAAAGUCACAAAAUUCAUUUUC